AAUACAAUUUUAAAUCCCUACUCCCAUUUGCAUUUCCCCAAGUUCCAGCAUACCAAUACUGUUUGUUCAAUAACAGUGCAGUAAACUAUCCAUUAUCUGGGUUCACAGAUCAAUGUGACUCCAAAGUACACUGACCCCUCAGAAAGCCAAGUAAAAUACACAAUAUAGCAGAAAUGAAGGGAAAAAAAAAGUGAAAGCUUUUCUGUAUUCUCCUUGGGUGUGCUAUGAUUUAAAUAUCAUUAAAUUCUGCAGUGUAAUAUGCACCCUUUUUUAUUUUUACAUAUUACAUAGUUUUGCAUAUCUGACACUGUACUGGGCGUGUGACUGCCAAUGUACAGAAGUGAACAUUACAUUUAUAAGAUAACAAGAGUGGAAAAGUGGAAACAAAUCAAUACUGUUCAUGCCAUUAGAAGUACAUUCAUGCCUGAUUUUAACUGACCAACUGCAGACCAAGAGGUAGGUCUGGUUAUAGCUUUUGCCAAACUUGAUUGACAAUGGGAGUGUCCCUUUACCUCAAGGUGCAUUUAUGAACUAAAAGAUAACAACAGGUCAUUUAUCCAAGGAAUGUGUCCAGGUCUGAGGCUUCUUUC
This is a long non-coding RNA of Cryptotermes secundus, 590 nucleotides long. RefSeq lists it as uncharacterized. The transcript is spliced from 3 exons. The record is from RefSeq and is a predicted model, not a curated record. NCBI's taxonomy places the organism in Eukaryota, Metazoa, Arthropoda, Insecta, Blattodea, Kalotermitidae.